CUUGGUCAUUUAGAGGAAGUAAAAGUCGUAACAAGGUCUCCGUUGGUGAACCAGCGGAGGGAUCAUUACAGAGUUAUCCAACUCCCAAACCCAUGUGAACUUAUCUCUUUGUUGCCUCGGCGCAAGCUACCCGGGACCUCGCGCCCCGGGGGGCCCGCCGGCGGACAAACCAAACUCUGUUAUCCUCGUUGAUUAUCUGAGUGUCUUAUUUAAUAAGUCAAAACUUUCAACAACGGAUCUCUUGGUUCUGGCAUCGAUGAAGAACGCAGCGAAAUGCGAUAAGUAAUGUGAAUUGCAGAAUUCAGUGAAUCAUCGAAUCUUUGAACGCACAUUGCGCCCAUUAGUAUUCUAGUGGGCAUGCCUGUUCGAGCGUCAUUUCAACCCCUAAGCACAGCUUAUUGUUGGGACUCUACGGCUUCGUAGUUCCCCAAAGACAUUGGCGGAGUGGCAGCAGUCCUCUGAGCGUAGUAAUUCUUUAUCUCGCUUUUGUUAGGCGCUGCCCCCCCGGCCGUAAAACCCCCAAUUUUUUCUGGUUGACCUCGGAUCAGGUAGGAGUACCCGCUGAACUUAAGCAUAUCAAUAAGCGGAGGA
RNAcentral lists this ribosomal RNA (591 nucleotides) under uncultured fungus. RNAcentral's name for it is "eukaryotic LSU rRNA". The stretch from base 222 to 375 matches the Rfam family "5.8S ribosomal RNA". The record is from RNAcentral. Lineage: Eukaryota; Fungi.